Molecule: ribosomal RNA, 253 nt
Filed under: uncultured bacterium
Lineage: Bacteria
Description: partial 16S ribosomal RNA
Rfam family: Bacterial small subunit ribosomal RNA
Source: RNAcentral
UACGUAGGGUGCAAGCGUUAAUCGGAAUUACUGGGCGCAAAGCGUGCGCAGGCGGCUUUGCAAGACAGCUGUGAAAUCCCCGGGCUUAACCUGGGAACUGCAUUUGUGACUGCAUGGCUGGAGUGCGGCAGAGGGGGAUGGAAUUCCGCGUGUAGCAGUGAAAUGCGUAGAUAUACGGAGGAACACCGAUGGCGAAGGCAAUCCCCUGGGCCUGAACUGACGCUCAUGCACGAAAGCGUGGGGAGCAAACAGG